UGGGGAAUAUUGCACAAUGGGCGCAAGCCUGAUGCAGCAACGCCGCGUGAGGGACGACGGCCUUCGGGUUGUAAACCUCUUUUAGUAGGGAAGAAGCGAAAGUGACGGUACCUGCAGAAAAAGCACCGGCUAACUACGUGCCAGCAGCCGCGGUAAUACGUAGGGUGCGAGCGUUGUCCGGAAUUAUUGGGCGUAAAGAGCUCGUAGGCGGUCUGUCGCGUCUGCUGUGAAAACCCGAGGCUCAACCUCGGGGCCUGCAGUGGGUACGGGCAGACUAGAGUGCGGUAGGGGAGAAUGGAAUUCCUGGUGUAGCGGUGGAAUGCGCAGAUAUCAGGAGGAACACCGAUGGCGAAGGCAGUUCUCUGGGCCGUAACUGACGCUGAGGAGCGAAAGCGUGGGGAGCGAACAGGAUUAGAUACCCUGGUAGUCCACGCCGUAAACGUUGGGCGCUAGAUGUGGGGACCAUUCCACGGUUUCCGUGUC
RNAcentral lists this ribosomal RNA (483 nucleotides) under uncultured bacterium. RNAcentral describes it as "partial 16S ribosomal RNA". It matches the Rfam family "Bacterial small subunit ribosomal RNA", at positions 355 to 847 of the family's 1533-position model. The record is from RNAcentral.